Molecule: ribosomal RNA, 830 nt
Filed under: uncultured bacterium
Lineage: Bacteria
Description: bacterial SSU rRNA
Rfam family: Bacterial small subunit ribosomal RNA
Source: RNAcentral
GAGCGGCGGACGGGUGAGUAAUGCCUGGGAAUAUGCCUUAGUGUGGGGGAUAACUAUUGGAAACGAUAGCUAAUACCGCAUAACGUCUUCGGACCAAAGAGGGGGACCUUCGGGCCUCUCGCGCUAAGAUUAGCCCAGGUGGGAUUAGCUAGUUGGUGGGGUAAAGGCCCACCAAGGCAACGAUCCCUAGCUGGUCUGAGAGGAUGAUCAGCCACACUGGAACUGAGACACGGUCCAGACUCCUACGGGAGGCAGCAGUGGGGAAUAUUGCACAAUGGGGGAAACCCUGAUGCAGCCAUGCCGCGUGUAUGAAGAAGGCCUUCGGGUUGUAAAGUACUUUCAGUCGUGAGGAAGGGUGUGUAGUUAAUAGCUGCAUGCCUUGACGUUAGCGACAGAAGAAGCACCGGCUAACUCCGUGCCAGCAGCCGCGGUAAUACGGAGGGUGCGAGCGUUAAUCGGAAUUACUGGGCGUAAAGCGCAUGCAGGCGGUCUGUUAAGCAAGAUGUGAAAGCCCGGGGCUCAACCUCGGAACCGCAUUUUGAACUGGCAGACUAGAGUCUUGUAGAGGGGGGUAGAAUUUCAGGUGUAGCGGUGAAAUGCGUAGAGAUCUGAAGGAAUACCGGUGGCGAAGGCGGCCCCCUGGACAAAGACUGACGCUCAGAUGCGAAAGCGUGGGGAGCAAACAGGAUUAGAUACCCUGGUAGUCCACGCCGUAAACGAUGUCUACUUGAAGGUUGUGGCCUUGAGCCGUGGCUUUCGGAGCUAACGCGUUAAGUAGACCGCCUGGGGAGUACGGUCGCAAGAUUAAAACUCAAAUGAAUUGACGGGGG